CCUACGGGUGGCAGCAGUGGGGAAUAUUGGGCAAUGGGCGCAAGCCUGACCCAGCAACGCCGCGUGAAGGAAGAAGGCUUUCGGGUUGUAAACUUCUUUUAAGAGGGAAGAGAAGAAGACGGUACCUCUUGAAUAAGCCACGGCAAACCACGCCCCAGCAGCCGCGGUAAUACGUAGGUGGCAAGCGUUGUCCGGAUUUACUGGGUGUAAAGGGCGUGCAGCCGGGGUGACAAGUCUGAUGUGAAAGCCCGCGGCUCAACCGCGGAACGGCAUUUGAAACUGGCAGGCUAGAGUACCGGAGAGGUCAUCGGAAUUCCUUGUGUAGCGGUGAAAUGCGUAGAUAUCAGGAAGAACACCAGUGGCGAAGGCGGAUGACUGGACGGCAACUGACGGUGAGGCGCGAAAGCGUGGGGAGCAAACAGGAUUAGAUACCCGAGUAGUC
RNAcentral lists this ribosomal RNA (442 nucleotides) under uncultured bacterium. RNAcentral's name for it is "partial 16S ribosomal RNA". It matches the Rfam family "Bacterial small subunit ribosomal RNA", at positions 338 to 795 of the family's 1533-position model. The record is from RNAcentral.